RNAcentral lists this transfer RNA (79 nucleotides) under Psilocybe cubensis. RNAcentral describes it as "tRNA-Glu". It matches the Rfam family "tRNA". From Rfam's summary of the family: Transfer RNA (tRNA) molecules are approximately 80 nucleotides in length. Their secondary structure includes four short double-helical elements and three loops (D, anti-codon, and T loops). Further hydrogen bonds mediate the characteristic L-shaped molecular structure. tRNAs have two regions of fundamental functional importance: the anti-codon, which is responsible for specific mRNA codon recognition, and the 3' end, to which the tRNAs corresponding amino acid is attached (by aminoacyl-tRNA synthetases). tRNAs cope with the degeneracy of the genetic code in two manners: having more than one tRNA (with a specific anti-codon) for a particular amino acid; and 'wobble' base-pairing, i.e. permitting non-standard base-pairing at the 3rd anti-codon position. Lineage: Eukaryota; Fungi; Basidiomycota; Agaricomycetes; Agaricales; Agrocybaceae. The record is from RNAcentral.
UCGGGUAUGGUGUAACGGCUAACAUUGCCGCCUCUCAUACAGAUCGCGGCAGCUCGGGGUUCGAUUCCCCGUACCCGAA